This 251-nucleotide ribosomal RNA is filed under the name uncultured bacterium. RNAcentral's name for it is "partial 16S ribosomal RNA". It matches the Rfam family "Bacterial small subunit ribosomal RNA", at positions 524 to 776 of the family's 1533-position model. The record is from RNAcentral.
UACGUAGGGUGCAAGCGUUAAUCGGAAUUACUGGGCGUAAAGCGUGCGCAGGCGGUUGGUUAAGACAGAUGUGAAAUCCCCGGGCUCAACCUGGGAACUGCAUUUGUGACUGGCCAGCUAGAGUAUGGCAGAGGGGGGUGGAAUCCACGUGUAGCAGUGAAAUGCGUAGAGAUGUGGAGGAACACCGAUGGCGAAGGCAGCCCCCUGGGCAAUACUGACGCUCAGGCACGAAAGCGUGGGGAGCAAACAGG